CUUUACGAACCUGCCCGGGGUCUUAGGACAGCGGCGGCAGCGGCGAGGGUUCCCAGCAAUCAGAGCUCUGGCGACCCCGCGACCACGGAAGGGGAACCGGAGGGUCUGUCACCCAACUCGGGGCCCCGGCGGUGUGAGUGGCUCUGCCUCUAUCCCUUGCCCAUCCUCGCCGGUUCGCGCUCGCCAGAGCACACGCACUUACACUCCGGGUCGGCCGGCUGCUGCGCCGCCGGCGGCCGCUGCUCUCACUUCCUCUUCCUUCCUCCUGCUGGCCAGAGACACAUUUUGCAUCUGCAAGGCAUCCCGAGAUUAGCCGCGAAAUCUCCUCCCGAGCGGACGCUGCGGAGUGGCCGCCGUCGCCCCCCGCACCUGCGCCCGGACACGCGUAGUUGGCGCGUUCGCCUCCAGCCGGCGCCCUGACGCCGGCCCACUGCACUUUGCCUGGGGGAUGGGGGUGCCCACGACUUUUUGAAGUCCCCCUACUUAAAAAGAAGAAAAUGUCAAACACCGUGCACGCCUCAGUUCUGCUAUAAAUAAUAUGUGUGCAGAGCAUGACUUCUCGGAUGAGCUCACACGCGGCGUUUUGCAGGCACUAACUCCGUCACCCUCACAGCGCCACCUCCGGGAGGCCGAGAGUGCGCGGCAUCUUUUUAUAAGCUUUCAGUUCGGGCAACUGGUUUGGAAUUUUGAGGGGAAACUUCGGUGGGCUGUUUUAAAGCUACCUUAAGAAGCUGAUGUGUUUGACGUUCUGCCUCGACCCUUGGACGGCACGACAAAAAUAACAAGAGAACAUUUCGUCCUCCUCACAGUCACCUGUGCAUUUACCGACCAAGGGAUUUAUUUCUCAUCAGUUAAGCCAAGGACUCCCUAAUUUUGCAUAACUUUGCAUAAAGCAAGACGUUCUACCCCCAAUUUGAUAUUUAUGGUACAUUAUUUGAUUCAUGCAACCUACUUCAGUCCUUUUCAAAGCAGAAAUCAAACACGUUAACUCCGAGUAGCUGCCAGGAGGGAAAUGACAGUUGUUGGAAGGUUGCAGGAGAAACACCUGUCCUCUCCAAAUUCAGAAAUAUCUACGCUGGCUCUACCAGAAAAGGCAAAGACAGUUGCUAUACGUUCCCUGCAAAAUGACAAAGGAGAUACAUCUCACCGUUGAUCCCAGUGCAAGGGGAAGACUGGAAAUUCUUUGCUGUGUUACGAUUAGGCCAUGUCCGGGCUUAUGAGACUCAACUCAUGUCGCUAGUCUUCCAUUGUCUUUGCUCCAGUUUCUCUCCCUACAACCCAGGGGACAUGGGUUCGAGCCCUGGUCUGGGAAGAUCCCACAUGCUGCGGAGCAACUAAGCCUGUGUGCCACAACUACUGAGCCUGUGCUCUAGAGCCCGCUAGCCACAACUACUGAAGCCCAUGUGCCUGGAGCCCAUGCUCUGCAACAGGAGAAGCCACCGCAAUGAGAAGCCCACACACCGCAACGAAGAGUAGCCCCCGCUCGCCGAAACUAGAGAAAGCCCGCGUGCAGCAACAAAGACCCAACGCAGCCAAAAAUAAAAAUAAAAAUAAAAUAAAUAAAUUUAUAAAAAAAAGAAAAAGACAAACAUGAUUGGCACAAAUGUGUUUAUUCCAGCUUAGCUUAUAGCUACAACAAUCAAAAGUUGCAUGAAACUCAAAUGGUCAACAAUAGGGCAAUGCUUUAAUAAGUUACAGUUUAUCCAUCCAUAUAAUGGAGUAUAAACGAUCAUUAAAAUGUCCUGUA
Balaenoptera ricei (Rice's whale) is the source of this 1747-nucleotide long non-coding RNA. RefSeq lists it as uncharacterized. The transcript is spliced from 4 exons. The record is from RefSeq and is a predicted model, not a curated record. NCBI's taxonomy places the organism in Eukaryota, Metazoa, Chordata, Mammalia, Artiodactyla, Balaenopteridae.